AACUCUGAACCAGCCAUCCCGCGUGUAGGAAGACGGCCUUAUGGGUUGUUAAACACUUUUAUACAGGAAGAAACGUACCCUCGUGAGGGUGCCUGACGGUACUGUAGGAAUAAGCACCGGCUAACUCCGUGCCAGCAGCCGCGGUAAUACGGAGGGUGCGAGCGUUAUCCGGAUUUAUUGGGUUAAAGGGUCCGUAGGCGGAUUAAUAAGUCAGUGGUGAAAUCCCAUCGCUUAACGAUGGAACUGCCAUUGAUACUGUUAGUCUUGAAUGAGGGUGCAGUGGUUGGAAUGUGUAGUGUAGCGGUGAAAUGCAUAGAUAUUACACAGAACACCGAUUGCGAAGGCAGAUCACUAACCCUAAAUUGACGCUGAGGGACGAAAGCGUGGGGAGCGAACAGGAUUAGAUACCCUGGUAG
This 416-nucleotide ribosomal RNA is filed under the name uncultured bacterium. RNAcentral's name for it is "bacterial SSU rRNA". It matches the Rfam family "Bacterial small subunit ribosomal RNA", at positions 379 to 793 of the family's 1533-position model. The record is from RNAcentral.